Molecule: long non-coding RNA, 404 nt
Organism: Diceros bicornis minor
Lineage: Eukaryota; Metazoa; Chordata; Mammalia; Perissodactyla; Rhinocerotidae
Exons: 4
Source: RefSeq, a predicted model, not a curated record
AAGAGUUUACCAUGUGCCUGAUUUUGGUGUCUGGGAAAGAGGAAGCAAAUAUAAUAAUGGCAGCACAGAGCUACAUUCGAGCUCUGUUGGCUUAGCAAAAGCAGCUCUAGAAGCAAUUAAUGGAUUCAACCUCUUUGGCAACCAGGGCUGUUCUUGGUCGGUUAUAUUUGUGGAUCUCGAUGCUCACAAUCGCAAUAGGCAAACUUUGUGCUCACUCUUACCCAGAGAAUCAAGAUCUCAUAACACAGAUGCUGCCCUGCUCCCCUGCAUCACUUAUCCUGCAUUUGCCCUGGAUGAUGAAGUUCUGUUUAGCCAGACACUUGAUAAAGUGGUUAGAAAAUUAAAAGGAAAAUAUGGAUUUAAACGUUUCUUGAGAGAUGGAUAUAGAACAUCACUGGAAGAUC